Molecule: ribosomal RNA, 463 nt
Filed under: Escherichia coli
Lineage: Bacteria; Pseudomonadati; Pseudomonadota; Gammaproteobacteria; Enterobacterales; Enterobacteriaceae
Description: bacterial SSU rRNA
Rfam family: Bacterial small subunit ribosomal RNA
Source: RNAcentral
AAAUUGAAGAGUUUGAUCAUGGCUCAGAUUGAACGCUGGCGGCAGGCCUAACACAUGCAAGUCGAACGGUAACAGGAAGCAGCUUGCUGCUUCGCUGACGAGUGGCGGACGGGUGAGUAAUGUCUGGGAAACUGCCUGGUGGAGGGGGAUAACUACUGGAAACGGUAGCUAAUACCGCAUAACGUCGCAAGACCAAAGAGGGGGACCUUCGGGCCUCUUGCCAUCGGAUGUGCCCAGAUGGGAUUAGCUAGUAGGUGGGGUAACGGCUCACCUAGGCGACGAUCCCUAGCUGGUCUGAGAGGAUGACCAGCCACACUGGAACUGAGACACGGUCCAGACUCCUACGGGAGGCAGCAGUGGGGAAUAUUGCACAAUGGGCGCAAGCCUGAUGCAGCCAUGCCGCGUGUAUGAAGAAGGCCUUCGGGUUGUAAAGUACUUUCAGCGGGGAGGAAGGGAGUAAAGU